This 61-nucleotide small nuclear RNA is filed under the name Blastocystis sp. ATCC 50177/Nand II. Its description in RNAcentral is "U7". The record is from RNAcentral. Lineage: Eukaryota; Bigyra; Opalinata; Blastocystidae.
AAGGAUAGAUUUCUUUCUCUUUUCCGUUUUUCCAGGAGGAAUCGUAGAUGGUGCAACCAGU